GACGAACGCUGGCGGCGUGCUUAACACAUGCAAGUCGAACGGUAAGACCUUGAUUUUUUGGUGUGCUCGAGUGGCAAACGGGUGUGUAACACGAGAGUAACCUGACCUUGACUUUGGGAUAACUUCAGGAAACUAGAGCUAAUACCAGACAGGAUCUCCUGCUGCAUGGAGGGGGUUGGAACGUUUCGGCGGUGGGGAAUGGACUGGCGGCUUAUCAGCUUGCUGGUGGGGUAGUGGCAUACCAAGGCUUUGACGGGUAGCCGGCCUGGGAGGGUGACCGGACACAUUGGGUCUGAGCUAAGACCCAGUCUCAAAUGGGAGGCAACGGUGGGGAAUCUUACACAGUGGGCGGGAGCCUGAUGCGACGACGCCGCGUGCGGGAAGACGUCCUUCGGGUUGAGAAGCGCAUUCGCCUGUGACGAAGCGUGAGUGACGGUACUGAAUGAAGAAGCACCGGCUAACUACGUG
Molecule: ribosomal RNA, 468 nt
Filed under: uncultured bacterium
Lineage: Bacteria
Description: partial 16S ribosomal RNA
Rfam family: Bacterial small subunit ribosomal RNA
Source: RNAcentral